GACGAACGCUGGCGGCGUGCUUAACACAUGCAAGUCGAACGGAAAGGCCCUGCUUUUGUGGGGUGCUCGAGUGGCGCACGGGUGAGUAACACGGGAGUAACCUGCCCUUUACUUUGGGAUAACUUCAGGAAACUGGGGCUAAUACCGGAUAGGAGCUCCUGCUGCAUGGUGGGGGUUGGAAAGUUUCGGCGGUUGGGGAUGGACUCGCGGCUUAUCAGCUUGUUGGUGGGGUAGUGGCUUACCAAGGCUUUGACGGGUAGCCGGCCUGAGAGGGUGACCGGCCACAUUGGGACUGAGGUACGGCCCAGACUCCUACGGGAGGCAGCAGUGGGGAAUAUUGCACAAUGGGCGGAAGCCUGAUGCAGCAACGCCGCGUGCGGGAUGACGGCCUUCGGGUUGUAAAGCGCUUUAGCCUGUGACGAAGCGUGAGUGACGGUAAUGGGUAAAGAAGCACCGGCUAACUACGUG
This 468-nucleotide ribosomal RNA is filed under the name uncultured bacterium. Its description in RNAcentral is "partial 16S ribosomal RNA". It matches the Rfam family "Bacterial small subunit ribosomal RNA", at positions 28 to 507 of the family's 1533-position model. The record is from RNAcentral.